Non-coding RNA from Marchantia polymorpha subsp. ruderalis, 112 nucleotides. Lineage: Eukaryota; Viridiplantae; Streptophyta; Marchantiopsida; Marchantiales; Marchantiaceae. The record is from the annotation of a GenBank genome assembly.
UGGAUGACACCUAUUUCAAUGUGUGGAAGCAUAAAAUGCUUAACUCGAGCAUCUAUUAUGGUUGCAAGAGAGGCCAUCUUAUGCUUCCAGACUUUGAAUUAGUUGUCAUACA